CGUGGCUGGGGGCACCCUGAUCAGCAAUGCCGCGUGCAGGAAGAAGGCCUUCGGGUUGUAAACUGCUUUUGUACGGAACGAAACGGCUCUGGUUAAUACCCGGAGCUAAUGACGGUACCGUAAGAAUAAGCACCGGCUAACUACGUGCCAGCAGCCGCGGUAAUACGUAGGGUGCGAGCGUUAAUCGGAAUUACUGGGCGUAAAGCGUGCGCAGGCGGUGCUGUAAGACAGGCGUGAAAUCCCCGGGCUUAACCUGGGAAUGGCGCUUGUGACUGCAGUGCUGGAGUGCGGCAGAGGGGGAUGGAAUUCCGCGUGUAGCAGUGAAAUGCGUAGAUAUGCGGAGGAACACCGAUGGCGAAGGCAAUCCCCUGGGCCUGCACUGACGCUCAUGCACGAAAGCGUGGGGAGCAAACAGGAUUAGAUACCCUGGUAGUCCACGCCCUAAACGAUGUCAACUGGUUGUUGGGUCUCUUCUGACUCAGUAACGAAGCUAACGCGUGAAGUUGACCGCCUGGGGAGUACGGCCGCAAGGUUGAAACUCAAAUGAAUUGACGG
Molecule: ribosomal RNA, 555 nt
Filed under: uncultured Hydrogenophaga sp.
Lineage: Bacteria; Pseudomonadati; Pseudomonadota; Betaproteobacteria; Burkholderiales; Comamonadaceae
Description: bacterial SSU rRNA
Rfam family: Bacterial small subunit ribosomal RNA
Source: RNAcentral